Molecule: long non-coding RNA, 528 nt
Filed under: Bos indicus x Bos taurus (hybrid cattle)
Lineage: Eukaryota; Metazoa; Chordata; Mammalia; Artiodactyla; Bovidae
Description: lncRNA (ENSBIXG00000004748.1)
Source: RNAcentral
CAGCAAGGGGUGGAUCCAGUUAAUUUUGCUUCAGAAUCUGCAGGCCUGCGAUAGGCGAUGGCAGGACCACAGCUGUUCAGACUCAGAGUGCCUUGGACUCACAGCAGGAAGCAGAGACACUUAGAGGGGCUGCCCCAUGGUCAAUGCCACGGCCCUGGGGAUUUUCUCCUCAAGAGCUGUGAGUCGCUGUGGCAACCACAUUUCCCAAAGCUCCUCUCAAGGCAGAGAGACUAUUUUAGGAACUUACCUGAACUCUCUGGAAUAAUGGUCACCUACUUCUGGGAGAUGGUGAUGCUAAUUCUAUUUUAUGCGGGACAACACAGAGGCAGUGAAAAGGUACCCAAAAUCUCAAAGAAGUGGGAGCAAAAGAUUUAAAUUGAACAUCAGCAAUGAAGAAAAGCUUAAAUUCAGACCAGGAACAAAUGUAUAUAGGCCUGAAUGUGCUGUAAUCCUUGGAGAACAAUGGAAAUUAUCCUGGAUUUUAAAAAGUAUAUGAAUGAACAAUGAUCAAGAAGGGGAAAAAAAAUU